Long non-coding RNA from Amborella trichopoda, 3215 nucleotides. RefSeq lists it as uncharacterized. Lineage: Eukaryota; Viridiplantae; Streptophyta; Magnoliopsida; Amborellales; Amborellaceae. The record is from RefSeq and is a predicted model, not a curated record.
UGACUGAAAAGCUUCAAACCCCGAUAAAUUUCAACCAUACCCCUUCCUGCUGCGUGCUCUGCGAACCAGAGAGCUUUACUGAGAAGCUCCCUCUCUUUCGCUCUACAUGGUCUUUCCAUGGAACUACAAAUGCUCUGUGUCCUCUCUCUCUAAAUGUCAACAGCUCUCCCUCCUCAUUCGCAUAAGAAAUUUCAGCCAUACCCCCUCCUCCUGUAUGCUCUGCGAACCAAAGAGCUUCACUGAGAAGCUCCCUCUCUCUUGCUAGCCACCUUUUUUCCAGGCAAUUACAAAUGCUCUGCAUCAUCUCUCUCUAAAUUUCAGCCGCUCUACCUUCUCAUUCGCUCUAGGAAGCUCGUUGUGGCUACUAGCAUCUCAAGUAGGCAGCACGCUGAGAAAAACCCAACCCAAGAUGACUCAGGAUUAAGGCACUGAAAUUGCACAGGAAAGCAUGACAACUGUUUGAUUGUAGUACGGGCCCCAAAAGGAUGGGGCACUGCAUCCAAGCACGCUGAUAUUGGCACUGAAUCGGCAUACUAUACAUGUUUCAUGAACGCCUCAACAUCAAUAUCUCCUUCCUCUCCUGUCGACAUUACUAGUUCAAAAAAUGGGCAUGAGUGUGGUGCUCAAGGUAUGGUAGAUGAAGCUUGCCAUGAUUUUCCAUUUGAUGAGGAUAUAGUUGCAAUAGAUGGAGAAGGAGAUCCUAUAUUAUAGAUGCAGAGGCAGCCCUAGCAAGAAGUGCAAGUAUCGAACCGGCAAUGGGAAUGGCAUUUACUGACGAAGACGAAGCUUAUGAUUAUUAUAAUAAGUACGUAAAAUUUGUAGUGUUUGGUAUAAGAAAGGGAAGGACAUAUGGAAACAUGGUGAAAAAGUUGGUCAAUUUAUAGAAUAUUGUAGGCAAGGUUUUUAUAAUGAGAUGUAUGAUGGGAGUGAAAAUGCUCAGCCCCACACAAAAUGUGGAUGUCAGGCAAAGAUUCGCAUUAAGAAGAAUAAGACGCAGAGAUGGGUUAUUACGAAGUUUAUAAAAGAACAUAAUCAUAUUCUUACAAUGCCCAACAAGACUAGAUUCAUUCGCUCUCAUCAAAAGAUACCAAACACAUUAAAUAAGGUGAUUAACACAUUGGAGUCGUCUAUGGCUAAGUCUAGGGUUACAAUGGCUUACCUUAUUGAAGAGGCCGGUGGGGCAGAAAAUCUCCUCUUCAUUGAGAAAGACCUUGAUAAUCACAUAACUCGAAAGAGAAAACAAGGAAAAUAGGGUAAUGUUGUUAUGAACAGGUUGCAUACGAAGAAAGAAUUGGAACCUAACUUCUUUUAUAGAGUUCGACUUGAUGAGAUGGGGAGGUUAUUUGGUGUUUUAUGGGUUGAUUCAAAGUGUAUAUUGUCAUACCAAUUUUUUAAUAACGUGGUAACCUUUGACACCACAUACCAAACAAAUGACUACAAUAUGCCCUUUGGCCCAAUCCUUGAAGUUAAUCAUCACGCUAACACAAUUUUCCUUGGAUGUGCUCUCAUCUUCAAUGCGACUAUAGAAAUCUGCAUUUGGUUAUUUGAGAACUGGCUAAAUGCAAUUGGAGGCCGCCAACCAAAUACAAUUAUCACUGAUCAGGCUUUAGCUAUAAUAGCUGCAGUUAAGACAGUUUUCCCGAAUACUAAUCAUCACUAUUGCAAGUGGCACAUCACGGGAAAGUUUAAAACACAUCUAAGCCAUGUUGAGUGUGCGUACCUAUUAUUCUUAGAGGUAUUCAAGAAGUGUAUUGCAGCCUCUACAGUUGAGCAGUUUGAGGCUGAUUGGUUGGCUAUGAUUCAGAAAUAUGAUCUUCAAGAAGAAAGUUGGCUCAAGUGGUUAUAUGGUUAUCGCACUCAAUAGGUUGAUGCAUACAUAGCUGAUAGGUUCACAGCCAGCAUGAAAACCACACAACGAAGUGAAGGGUUCAAUCGUCAUUUAAAGAUGUAUGUCACUUAUGGUACAGGUUUGCAAAAAAUCAUGAAUGCUAUUGAAAAGUUGCAAAACAAGAAGUUCAUCAAAGAAAAAGAGAAAUAUAGUAAAUAUCUUACAUCCACACCUGUUCUAAAGACGACCUUCCUUAUCAAAGAGCAUACAACAAAAACAUACACUCAGAAAUUAUUUAGAAAGUUCCAAGAAGAGGCAGUAAGGUCAUCAAAUUGCCUUAGCAAAUUCAUAGAAGGCAAUGAUGAAUUUUUCAAAUAUAAGGUGGAAGACAUUUGCGGUUUGCCAAUCCCUCGGAUGGUUACAUUCAUUGAAUCAGGGAAGAAGUGUACAUGCAUAUGUCAAUUAUUUGAACGUGUUGGAAUCCCUUGUUCACAUAUGCUCAAAGUGUUCAACAUGAGAAAUGUAUUGAAGAUCCCAUCUAAUUACAUUUUGAGUCGGUAGACAAUGGAUGUGAAGAAGGAUGUCAAAAACAAAUGUGGUGCUAGUAGUUCGACUAUAUCUAAAUUUCCAAGUUUCAUUUGACGCUAUGAGCUUUAUGACCUUGUGAAAACAAUUGUAGAGCCAGUAUUAGAAAAUGAUGAUUUAUAUGAAAAAGUGAAGUUGGGUUUCUCCAAGUUAGCUGAGGAGGUCAAUGUCACAAGAGAGUCGUUGUCGAAUACUCAUGCACCAUCAGCCCCCACUCAUUGUAGUGCUGCAGAAGAUGAAGUAUGUGGCAGUAUUAGAUCAGUUGAUGUCUCCCCCCUUGUACUUAAUCCACCAUAUGCAUGAGCAAUUGAACGACCAAGGACUAAAACGAUUAAACCUUCAUGGGAAAAAGGGCCAAAAGCUUCUACACAAAAGAAACAGUCGGAGGAAAGGCCACCCACUGGAAGGAAGUAUAAAGUUUGCAAUAAGAGUGGAGAUGACAGACAUAACUAUCCGGUGAGGGCAUGUGGGAUAACUAUUGAGGACCUCAAACAGAGUUGAGGCCAUGACAAACAAAGGGGCUGCAAUUGCAUGGAGGACAUGACAAAUUGCCAGAUUGCAUUCGCAUUGAGGAUAUGGCGACUUGCAGGGGUUCAUUUGCACAUAUAUUUAAAGACGUAAAAACCUGUUUUUGUAGUUGACUUUGGGGGUUAUGUGAAUAUUCAAUGAAUUUACAGGCAUGUAAAAGACCUAUUUAUGAGGCAUGUAAAUAACUUGACCAAUUUUUUGAAUUUUGGAGACUUGCAAAUACCCCUUUCUGUAGUUGACUUUGGUGUUAUGUGAAUAUUCAAUAUUCAUGUAA